This 76-nucleotide transfer RNA is filed under the name Parcubacteria group bacterium CG1_02_41_26. Its description in RNAcentral is "tRNA-Ala". It matches the Rfam family "tRNA". Rfam says of the family: Transfer RNA (tRNA) molecules are approximately 80 nucleotides in length. Their secondary structure includes four short double-helical elements and three loops (D, anti-codon, and T loops). RNAcentral also lists the same sequence under 2 other names. The record is from RNAcentral.
GGGCCAUUAGCUCAUUUGGUAGAGCGCAUCGCUGGCAGCGAUGAGGCGACCGGUUCGAAUCCGGUAUGGUCCACAA